This 468-nucleotide ribosomal RNA is filed under the name uncultured bacterium. RNAcentral's name for it is "partial 16S ribosomal RNA". It matches the Rfam family "Bacterial small subunit ribosomal RNA", at positions 28 to 507 of the family's 1533-position model. The record is from RNAcentral.
GACGAACGCUGGCGGCGUGCUUAACACAUGCAAGUCGAACGGAAAGGCCCUGCGUUUGUGGGGUGCUCGUGUGGCGAACGGGUGAGUAACACGUGAGUAAACUGCCCCUGUCUUUGGGAUAACUUCAGGAAACUGGGGCUAAUACAGGAUAGGAGCUACUGCUGCAUGGUGGGGGUUGGAAAGUUUCGGCGGUUGGGGAUGGACUCGCGGCUUAUCAGCUUGUUGGUGGGGUAGGGGCUUACCAAGGCUUUGACGGGUAGCCGGCCUGGGAGGGUGACCGGCCACAUUGGGACUGAGAUACGGCCCAGACUCCUACGGGAGGCAGCAGUGGGGAAUAUUGCACAGUGGGCGGAAGCCUGAUGCAGCGACGCCGCGUGCGGGAUGACGGCCUUCGGGUUGUGAACCGCUUUCGCCUUUGACGAAGCGUGAGUGACGGUAAUGAGUAAGGAAGCACCGGCUAACUACGUG